Molecule: ribosomal RNA, 660 nt
Filed under: uncultured bacterium
Lineage: Bacteria
Description: bacterial SSU rRNA
Rfam family: Bacterial small subunit ribosomal RNA
Source: RNAcentral
AGUGGCGGACGGGUGAGUAACGCGUGAGAAUCUGCCUUGGGGUCGGGGACAACCACUGGAAACGGUGGCUAAUACCGGAUAAGCCGAUUGGUGAAAGAUUUAUUGCCCGAAGAGGAGCUCGCGUCUGAUUAGCUAGUUGGUGAGGUAAGAGCUCACCAAUGCAGCGAUCAGUAGCUGGUCUGAGAGGACGAUCAGCCACACUGGGACUGAGACACGGCCCAGACUCCUACGGGAGGCAGCAGUGGGGAAUUUUCCGCAAUGGGCGAAAGCCUGACGGAGCAAGACCGCGUGAGGGAGGAAGGCUCUUGGGUUGUAAACCUCUUUUCUCAGGGAAGAAGCUCUGACGGUACCUGAGGAAUCAGCCUCGGCUAACUCCGUGCCAGCAGCCGCGGUAAUACGGAGGAGGCAAGCGUUAUCCGGAAUUAUUGGGCGUAAAGCGUCCGCAGGCGGCGAUUCAAGUCUGCUGUCAAAGCACGGGGCUUAACUCCGUAAAGGCAGUGGAAACUGAAUAGCUAGAGUGCCGUAGGGGUAGAGGGAAUUCCCGGUGUAGCGGUGAAAUGCGUAGAGAUCGGGAAGAACAUCGGUGGCGAAAGCGCUCUACUGGACGGCAACUGACACUCAGGGACGAAAGCUAGGGGAGCGAAUGGGAUUAGAUACCCC